Molecule: small nuclear RNA, 164 nt
Organism: Hucho hucho (huchen)
Lineage: Eukaryota; Metazoa; Chordata; Actinopteri; Salmoniformes; Salmonidae
Gene: U1
Rfam family: U1 spliceosomal RNA
About the family: U1 is a small nuclear RNA (snRNA) component of the spliceosome (involved in pre-mRNA splicing). Its 5' end forms complementary base pairs with the 5' splice junction, thus defining the 5' donor site of an intron.
Source: Ensembl
AUAUUUACCUGGCAAGGGAGAUACCGUGAUCAAGAAGGCUGUUCAACCAGAGCGAGGCUCAGCCAUUGCACUCCGGAUGUGCUGACCCCUGCGAAUUUCCCAAAUGUGGAAAUCUCAAUUGCAGAAUUUCUGGUAGUGGGGGACUGCGUUCGCGCUCUCCCCUG